UUAAUCUUCCGAGGUGGCUUGUAUGAGUCUUCAGCAUUCUCAGCUGGAGGGUGACCAGGGUUGUGACCAUAAUGUGGUGGCUUCUCUCCCUUAGGUGGUUUGCCAACUGGGGUUGGUGGCUUGUAUGAGUCUUCAGCAUUCUCAGCAGGAGGGUGACCAGGGUUGUGACCAUAAUGUGGUGGCUUCUCUCCCUUAGGUGGUUUGCCAACUGGGGUUGGUGGCUUGUGUUCUGGGAGUGGCUUCUCCCCCUUGGGAGGUUUUUCCAAUGGGGUUGGUUUGUGUUCAGGAGGUGGCUUCUCCACUGGAGGCUUGUGUUCAGGAGGUGGCUUCUCCACCGGAGGCUUGUGUUCAGGUGGUGGCUUCUCCACCGGAGGCUUAUGCUCUGGUGGUGGCUUCUCGAAUGGGGGAUGCUUAGGAUAAUCAGCAAGUGAGGGGGCGGUGAGAACCACCAGGCCAAGCAACACCACUAGCAAAUAUGUAGGAGACAUCUUUGGGUUUGGGCUCAGAUGGUGCAAAACUAGGAGAAUUGGCUAGCCUUUUAUAGCGGAUCGUACCCAAUAAUGAAAUGACACGUGUCAUUAUGACCCAUGUGUAAUGGGGUCGAUUUGGGUCCUACAGUGUUGAAAACUUCGACAUCCACUUUUGGCCUUUUGCUUUCUCUACAGCCGCCUUGCUUUUUCCCUCUUUCCUUUUGUUUUCCUCCUGCCCCAUUCUAUCAACUAAACACAAUUAUGUAGUUGUUUAAUUCUUAAAUGAGAUAUUAUCCGUCAAUCGUAUUAUAUUUUAUCAAGAGAGAACGGAGUGCAAUGUGGCUGUAAUUUUAUCGUUUAGUUUUAUCUCUUGGACCACUGCAUUUUUGUUAAGAGGUGCAAUAAUACACGUCUUUAUCUGCCAUUCAAUAUUUACAGUAAAGAGAGGGCACAAAACUCUUCACUUCGCACCAUAAUUAUUUUGUUUUCUGGACACCCCGGGGCCCUUUGGUUGGUUUGGGGGUCAGAAAGUGAACAUCAUAGGGGGUUUUUCCCUUAUGUGCAUUUGUAUCUGAUGGCUUUAACUCGCCUUGUUACUACAAAGAAACUGUCACAGAUAGGAACUUAUUCCAGGCUGAGUAUCUCCUCAUAGACCCUAUAAAAGAAGACAAGUCAUAAUGAACAUCUAACCUUUGUUCAAUUUGAUUCAAUGCCCCCAUUGUGUCCAUCUCACAAAUCUGAAUUAUUAUAUCCAUUGAAUACAUAAAUUAAUGAAGAAAAUAUGAAACCCAAGAUACAUCUCUGCACAACCUCAACCCUGGUUGCUAUGUUUCCCUUCUAUUCACAUGAUUUGAUGCUAAUUGCCAAACUUGCAACAAGCCCUGAGUUUGACACCUAGUAUCGAUGGGCGAAUUUAAAGUCUCCUCCAAACAUAUAUUCCACAGCUUGAAGCUCACAGAAGAUGUUACAGGCAGGGAAAAACCUUCAGAGUUCGCUACCAAAGAUAAUUAUUAAGGAGAUAUCACAAAGAGAAUUCCAAGGGGUCUGAAUCAAAGACAAAUUGGUCGUUCGUGGGGGUUCUUACUUUCUUUUGGGUAUAACUCACUGAGGGCACUGUCUUUGUUAUUUGCAUUUCACAUUUAGAGUUCUGUUCUGGAAACAUAUAAAAGGAGCAUCAUUUUGUUCUUGGGUAACCCAUAGUCGUGAGUGGGUCCAUUUGCAUGCUACUUAGUUGAAAAGUUGGACCAUUUGCUCCGACGCCUACCUCCCGGAUUCCAUGCUCGGAUAAAACAAGAAUAAAAAAAAUAUUUAUAAUUUACAAAUGGGGGAAAGAAAAAAAUGUCAACAACAAACCAGGAAAAAAGAGUAGUAAAAUUCAUGUCACAUGCUAGUGAGAGAAGGGGUUGUUACACUCACUCGAAGUUCUUUCCAAAAUAUCGCAUGGUAUUUUAUUUUAUGUGUCAGCGCAGUUGUGAAUGGAACGUGCAAAAGUCCAAAUUGGCGUUUUUCCUUUUCCCGUGUAGGAUGGCGACCUUUAAUAAAUAUUUAAAACAAAAAACGAAAAAAAGGAGGGAAAAGGGAUCAGAAAAGAUAAAACAAUGUGUACAAGAGCUCAAUUAGUUUGCAAAUUACUGUUUGGAUUUUGAUAGUAUUUUAUUUGUCCAUCUAUAUUUGAUGGAAAAGAGAAUUUAAGAUAUUUCUGAAACAAAAGCAUUAGUGUAAAACUAAAUUAAGGUAUAAUUAAGUUAGUUCAAUGCAUUAAUUUAAGAAACUUGAUCUAUCCAAAGUACAAAAUUAGAUGAAAUCCAUUUCAAUGGUUAAAAUGAUCAAAAUCAAACUUUUUCUAAGUAUUUUUUAAAAGCAUCAAUAUUAAAAGACAAUUUUAUAUUUAGUCGGAGUUUGGACAAAACCAAAAAGCACACAAAAUCCAAGCGACCAUCUCUAGCUUGGAUAGUCACUUGAUCCCACCUAGAGAUGUGCAUGAGUAAAAGGAUUUGAAAAUGGAAAUUGACUAAAUAUUUAGUUGAUCAAUUAAAUUUGCAAUGUCAUAUGCAAUCCUAAUAGCUAGUCAUCUAAUCAAUUAGGUAGUCAAUCAAGUGUUUGUAAUGACUAUUUUGUACAAAAAACCACAUGUAUAGUUAAAUAUAAUGCAUUUCAUUUAUAAAUCUUCUAAUUCUUGAAUAACGAUCCUAUCAUCCUUUGAAAAUUUUUAUUACACCUUUUUUACUUUUGUUCUAAAACUUACAUAUCACCCUUAAUUGUACCAUGAGAACCUAGCUAUUUUUUUUUUUUUUGUAAUUCAUCAAAGUUAGCUUUUGUAUUCAUUGUUGUAUUAUUUUUAGUAUAACUUAGAAAGCUAGUGUUUUCAAGUGAGUAAAAUUAACUUGUAAAUAUUGUAAAGAUUCAUUGAUAUGUAUCUUAAACUAAGUGUACAAAUUAAAACAUUUGCUAGUAGAUUUUCUCAAAAUUUAGAAUAGAGCUUGAGGCUAUUGAAAUAGGUGGGGUUACACCAAACCACAUCACAUCGUUGUUUGCACCUUUUUUCACUCUCUUUUACUUAGUUUCUCUAUAUUUGUUGUCUAGUAAUAUCCUAUAGGCUUGAUGGGUUAGGGAGCAUCCCUUUGUGAAAAAAUUUCAUUCAAUUCUUAGUUGUAUUACGCAUAUAUAAAAUGCCUCAUUGUUUUAAUGGUAUUCAGUCGUGGCAUCACAGAUAUGGGCAUCUAAAUUUUAAAAGUUUGAAACUUUUGUAAAGCAUGUUGAUAAAAUCCAUGAGAGUUGUGUACUUGGGAAGCAACAUCGAGGUGACUUUAUUUUUUUUUCCUUUUAUAAUGCCACACCUAAGUCCGGUUUCUAAAUGCUAAAGUGAAAGGGUAGGUAUGGACCAUUGAAAUGUGAUCACAACUUUUGGCCUUUUCCUUUCUCUGCAGCCAUGUUGUCUCUUUUUUCUUUUGCAUGAUUUUCUUACCAAAACAGAAUCAUAGACUUGUUUAGUCUCUAAGCUACUAUAUUAUAUCUCGGUGGACUUUUAAGAGUGCAACCGACAUAGAGCACAUGCAAGUGGGCAUAUGGGACAUGAAAUUUCUUCUUACAAAGAUUGCAUGAUUUUUAUAUUAGAGUUGUUCACGUGCAAUGUAUUUAGCUUGUUUUGCAGUUAAAUUAAUUGGAUAAGUAAACAUUGGCAUUUCUAAAUCGACUGUGAAGUGCUUCAUGUACGUGUAAAGUAUUAGAAAUUUCUUUCUUGGCAACUUGUUUUUUCCUUGCCAUCUACUGGUAGGUUUGACUAAAAUUAUAUUCCCUGUCAUGCUAAUUAAUUUUCAUGUGCAUGCUCAAAAGAAGAGUAUGACCUUAGUGCACCAAAAUCACUUUGAUUAAUUUGUGAUAGGUUUUUUUGCAUCAUUUAGAUAAUGUUUAGUUCUAAGAAAAAUUUAUAUAAAAAUGGUUUAUUUAUCUUACAUAUAUAUAUAUAUAUAUAUAUUUUUUUUUUUUUCAUUUUUUUUUCUUCUAUUUUAUUUAUUUAUUUUAUUUUCCUUAUGUUUUCCUCACAUUUUCCGGAACUAAACAUAGUCUUACGAAAUCAACAAUUGCCUUCAACUGAGUAGAUUCUGUUGUUUUAGCAAUGUUAGGCUGCUAACUUGUGGUGGUACGAACCAAAUGACCCAUGUUAAUCUUGGCUUGGUUUGAUUUGGCUCUAUCUCAGAGAGCUAAAGGAUCACGUCAACUCUGGUUUCUACUAUUCAGGUCCAUUCCCAGAUGAACUGGUUCAAAUUUGAGAAAAUGGUAACAGACCUUUAGUGAUGUUGGUUUGGAGCCAGUUGCCAAACCCGCCCUGAGCUUUACCACUAAUGUCAAGGGAGAAAGCCAUUUGAACAAAAACAAUAGCUUCAAGAGACUGAAUCGUGGAUGAAAUCUGAUCCACAUUUCUUCUCAUUUUGGGAAAAAAUGAGAACUUAACUACAAAGAUUCUACUGCCUCAUUCAUAGUGCUUUUCCUGAUCCAAGGUUGGUUCGUUUCCCAAAUUGUGAGGUGCACGUGCCACUCUCACGCUCAGGAGUGUAUCCACGUGGUGGACAUCAGAUGGUGGCUUAAUAUCUGGUGUCGGUGGCUUUACUUUACUAGGAGAGUAGUGUGUCUUCAUCUCAUUCACUGCCGGAGGGUGGCGUAAGCAGUGACGCUAAGGUGGGGCACAGUCAAUAUCAUUUGCAUUUGACCAUUAUAGUUUUCUCCCGGCUUGAAAGUAACCUUAUCGUGAUAAAGGAUUACUAGCACUAGUUCAGAUGACCGUCAUGUUAAUUCGGACCAUGUUUGUGUCACAUUAUCAGCAACCAUGUGUUUAUGGUUCAUGCUAUCUGCAACUAAACUUGAUAUAUAACCAGGUGAACUUCAAUCAAAAUUCUGGAAGUACUCUUGUGAUAGAUGGUGCCUGUCUGCAGAGUCCAUCAAUUGAAAAAUGGAGUGAGUGUAUCUAUAAGAGGGAAGGCUUGGCAAAUGUUCAGUUUUCUGGGAAUUCAACAAGGAUCUAAAAUAGAUUGUUUUCUUUGCCGACUUCAAUGGUUGAAAUUUGAGAAGAUUGUGUCCACAUAUCACAACUAUUACUGGUCCUUCUGUUGCAAUUUAUCCUGUAAGGCUCUAACAUGUCUUCCAAUUCCCACUUCCCUGUUACUCCAGGAAAGCUAUUUCUGUCAUUGUGAAGAAGAAAAGAGAAUGUACAUAUCGAUGCUUUUAAGUGACUGGAGCAUUCAUAUCAGGUGGUCUGCAGCCAUAUAUGCCACUUUGUGAAGGUUGGAACAGUCAAUCACUAGGCUAUAUAUUGGUGUGGCCCAGCCACUUCAAUCAAGGACAAGUCUUCAUACUUAAAGUCAAAUUCUGCCUUUAGUCUCAUUAUAAAUUGCUGUUUAAAUAUUAAGCAAACUUUUGUUUAAUGCGAUUAAGACAGUACUAACUCAAUACUUGUUCUAUUUUUGGAUGCAAAUGCUUGAUGGUUUCAUCAUUGGAUGGGAUAAAGGUGCAUUCAUGAUUAUGAAUACUUGUAGUUAUAUUUUCAUUCUCUUUUUUCUCAAUGAGACUUGUUGGCACAAUGUUGCUGUUCAGAAACCUACCUCUCCAUGGAAAAUAAGUUGCGAUUGAUAGUACUGGAUAUGUUCAAGAAAGCUAAAUAUAGAUAGCACAAAAUAUUAUCGAUAUAAAUAGCAUUAACAGCGUACGUAUGUCUCAAUGCUCAUCAGCUAUAAGCAUGGGACAAACACUUACUAUGAGCAACUUACGUCAAAAUUCCAGAAUAGGACAUAGAAGUGACAGAUCUAUAUAUAUAGAACACUGCAUAUGAGUCACAAGAAAGGAAAUUACGGGUGCAUAGCAGCUCUUAUUUUACAUACUACUACUCAUACUGAUCAAAGUCACUCAGUUGGGAUGGGUGGGAGUAGGAGGUUUGUGGGGUGGCUUGUGCGGAGGAGUUGGCAGCUUCUUUCCAGGACCUGGUUGCUUCUCUGCUGGAGUUGAAGGAGGCUUAAUCUUCCGAGGUGGCUUGUAUGAGUCUUCAGCAUUCUCAGCUGGAGGGUGACCAGGGUUGUGACCAUAAUGUGGUGGCUUCUCUCCCUUAGGUGGUUUGCCAACUGGGGUUGGUGGCUUGUAUGAGUCUUCAGCAUUCUCAGCAGGAGGGUGACCAGGGUUGUGACCAUAAUGUGGUGGCUUCUCUCCCUUAGGUGGUUUGCCAACUGGGGUUGGUGGCUUGUGUUCUGGGAGUGGCUUCUCCCCCUUGGGAGGUUUUUCCAAUGGGGUUGGUUUGUGUUCAGGAGGUGGCUUCUCCACUGGAGGCUUGUGUUCAGGAGGUGGCUUCUCCACCGGUGGCUUGUGUUCAGGAGGUGGCUUCUCCACCGGAGGCUUAUGCUCUGGUGGUGGCUUCUCCACCGGAGGCUUAUGCUCUGGUGGUGGCUUCUUGAAUGGGGGAUGCUGAGGGUAAUCAGCAAGUGAGGGGGCGGUGAGAACCACCAGGCCAAGCAACACCACUAGCAAAUAUGUAGGAGACAUCUUUGGGUUUGGGCUCAGAUGGUGCAAAACUAGGAGAAUUGGCUAGCCUUUUAUAGCGGAUCGUACUCAAUAAUGAAAUGACACGUGUCAUUAUGACCCAUGUGUAAUGGGGUCGAUUUGGGUCCUACAGUGUUGAAAACUUCGACAUCCAGUUUUGGCCUUUUGCUUUCUCUACAGCCGCCUUGCUUUUUCCCUCUUUCCUUUUGUUUUCCUCCUGCCCCAUUCUAUCAACUAAACACAAUUAUGUAGUUGUUUAAUUCUUAAAUGAGAUAUUAUCGGUCAAUCGUAUUAUAUUUUAUCAAGAGAGAACGGAGUGCAAUGCAGCUGUAAUUUUAUCGUUUACUUUUAUCUCUUGGACCACUGCAUUUUUGUUAAGAGGUGCAAUAAUACACGUCUUUAUCUGCCAUUCAAUGUUUACAGUAAAGAGAGGGCACAAAACUCUUCACUGCUCUGCAUGUGUCCCAAAAAUGCGAUUGGACAAAUUAUGAUUUGCAUGCUAAAAAGAGGCAAAUGAGGUUAAUUCGCACCAUAAUUAUUUGGUUUUCUGGACACCAUAAAAAGAUGUUAUACAGGCAGGGAAAAACCUUCAGAGUUAGCUACCAAAGAUAAUUAUCAAGCAGAUAUCACCAAGAGAAUUCCAUAGAGUCUGAAUCAAAGACAGAUUGCUCGCUCGUGGGGGUUCUUACUUUCUUUUGGGUAUAACUCACUGAGGUCACUGUCUUUUUUAUUUGCAUUUCACAGUUAGAGUUCUGCUCUGGAAGGUUUGUUCUGGAAACAUAUAAAAGGAGCAUCAUUUUGUUCUUGGGUAACCCAUAGUCGUGAGUGGGUCCAUUUGCAUGCUACUUAGUUGAAAAGUUGGACAAUUUGCUCCGACGCCUACCUCCUGGAUUCCAUGCUCGGUAAAACAAGAAUAAAAAAAAAUAUAUAAUUUACAAAUGGGGGAAAGAAAAAAUGUCGGAAAAAAUAGUAAAAUUCAUGUCACAUGCUAGUGAGAGAAGGGGUUGUUACACUCACUCGAAGUUCUUUUCAAAAUAUCGAAUGGUAUUUUACUUUAUGUGUCAGCGCAGUUGUGAAUGGAACGUGCAAAAGUCCAAAUUGGCGUUUUUAUUUUUCCCAUGUAGGAUGGUGACCUUUAAUAAAUAUUUAAAACAAAAGACGAAAAAAAAAAGGAGGGAAAAGGGAUCACAAAAGAUAAAAUAAUGUUUACAAAAGCUCAAUUAGUUUGCAAAUUACUGUUUGGAUUUUGAUAGUAUUUUAUUUGUCGUUCUAUAUUUGAUGUAAAAGAGAAUUUAAGAUAUUUCCGAAGCAAAAGCAUUAGUUUGCUCUGUGAUGUCCCACAUCGAAUAGGGGAGAAAGUUUCUGGCGCUAUAUAUGUAGAGGCUCCUCUUAACCAAGUAGAUGCGUUUUAAAACCAUGAGGGCCCCCUUAGGUCCAAAGCGGACAAUAUCUACAUGAUUGGGUGUAAGUCAUUACAAAUGGUAUCAGAGCCGAUCCCCGACCCCGGUGUGGGGGUUUGUUUGGCCCUGUAAGGGGUGUUUGUCUGUUUGACCCCACAAUCCCAUGGGACACAACGAGGACGUUGUGUCUGCAUGGGGGGGCGUUUGUGAUGUCCCACAUCGGAUAGGGGAGAAAGUUCCUAGUGCUAUAUAUGUAGAUGUUUCUCUUAACCAAGUAGAUGCAUUUUAAAAUUGUGAGGGCCUCUUUGGGCCCAAAGCGGACAAUAUCUACAUGGUUGAGUGUAAGUCAUUACAUGCUCCAUGUCAAUUUCAGCAUUUCUCAUAUGUUUCACACAUACACAGAAGAGCAUCGUUUUUUAAAGCAUGCAUUUAUGUUGGAUUAAUUUGGAUUUUGUGGGAACUGGGGCAAGGAUCACAUGGAAGAGAGGUUGACUUUUUUCAGUACUUCAAUGGUUGAAAUAUGUGAAGGCUUGAUUGAUACUAAAGCUUGAAAUUGCGACUCUGUCAUUUGUAAAAAAAUAUGACAGCUUCCAUGCUCUCGUUUGGUUGCAUUGUCCGGUCGAGAGGUGCAAAAAGCAUUCUCUCUCUUCUAAUAGUCUUUUCGUUUAAAUCAAGGGAUUUGCCUUCCCGGUCGAGGUCCAAUAGAGGGUAACGGUCACCUACUAAACAUUAAAUGCUCCAACAACUAGUGAACUGAUCGACCCCAGCUCGACUAGUUGAGGUUACUUUUUGGUUUUCUUGUCUCCCGAGGUUAGAAACCUAUAAAUAGAGAGCUUCACUUCAUUUAUGAGUAAGAGAACACCUAAAUUUAUUUGUUUACCUACUUGUUUUUGCCAUAAAAGCUCUCAUUUCUUUUCUUGGUGUAUUAAAUCUCCAUUUGCAUAUCCUUUAGUGCACCUUUGUGAUUCAUUCUAGCCUUGAGUUGUAUUUAAGCCUUUGUUGAGCUAGGUUGAGAGUUUCAUACUUGUUUAUUGAGUGUUAAAGCCUUCAAGUGAGUUAAAACUUGAAGAGAUUGUGUAAGAGCCCAUUGGAGUCGGAAUCCAAGUGUAAAGGUGAUUAAAAGCUUGGUUGAAGCUUCAAGUUAGUGGAACUCUCACUCGGUUAUGAGCUUGAGAAGAGUGGACAUAGACAAGGCAGUGUCGAACCACUAUAAAAUCUGAGUUUGAUUUCUCUAACCUUAUCUCUUUAUAUUUGCUUCUCUUGUGCUUAAAUUUUUUGUGUUUAAAAAGAAUUUUUAAAAACUCAAUUCACCCCCUUCUUGGGAGUUUUUCUCUUUUAAGAUCAGCUUUUAUUUUCUCAAUUGGUAUCAGAACUAUGCCUCUUGUUUAAGACUUAAUCGUCUAAGAGGAAAUGGCUAAUCCAUCAAGUUCAUCUCACAUUGAAAGUUUUGCAACCAAUAGACUUCUUUUUUUUUUUUUGCGGGAACUGAUUAUCCCUAUUGGAAAACUAAAAUGACUUGGUUUUUACAAUCAAUUGAUUUAGAUGUAUGAGAUGCCAUUGAAGAUGACCUAACUUUUCCUUCAAAACUAGUUGAUGGAGUCAUGGUUCCAAAACCUAAGCAAGAAUGGGAUGAGCGUGAUUGAAGAAAUUUUCAAUUAAAUGCUAAAGUCGUUUAUACUUUGCAAUGCUCUAUGGACAGAAAUGAAUAUAAUAGAAUAUGUCAAUGCAAAUCGGUUAAAGAAAUUUGGAGAUUGCUUGAAAUAACUCAUAAAGGAACAAAUCAAGUUAAAGAGUCAAAAAUCAAUUUACUUGUUCAUAGAUAUGAAUUGUUUUUUAUGAAAGAUAAUGAAACUAUUGUUAAGAUGAUCACUAGGUUCACCAACAUUGUUAAUGGUCUUAAAGCCUUGGGAAAGACCUACAAGGAAUCCGAAAACGUGAUGAAGAUCUUGAGGUCACUUCCAUCAAAGUGGCAUACCAAGGUCACCGCAAUUUAAGAAGCAAAAGACUUGAUCAAGCUACCUUUGGAGGAGUUCAUAGGGUCAUUGAUGACAUAUGAAAUCAAUUUGGCAAAGAAGUAACAAAAAGGUGAAGACAAAAAGAAGAAGAACAUAACUCUCAAAGCUACAACUAAGGAAGAAGAAGUUGAAGAAGAAAAACAAAUUGAAGAAGAUGAAGAUUUAGCCCUCAUCACAAGAAAGUUCAACAAAUUCAUGAGGGGUGAAAGGUUUAGAAGAAGAAGGUUCACUUCUAGAAGAGACUUUUCUAAAAAGGAAUCUUCAUCUAAUGGUGACAAAAAGAGAUGGGAAGAGAAAAGAGACUUGGUGUGUUUCAAGUGCAAGAAACCGGGACACAUUAAAUAUGAUUGUCCUCUCUACAAAAGUGAAGUCAAGAGGAAAAAGAAUAAGGCAAUGAUGGCCACUUAGAGUGAAAGUGAAGAUGAAUCAUCCGAAGAAGAAAAUGAGAAAGAAGUGGCAAACAUGUGUUUCAUGGCAAUAGAUGAACUUGAUGAGGUAAAAUCUAACCUUAGUGAUUAAGAUAUACAUGAUGCAUUUGAAGAAUUGUAUGAGGAUUUUUAAAAACUUAGUUUGAAAAAUAUUUCUCUUAAAAAGAAAGUUCAACAACUUGACAAAGAACUUAGAGAAGUAAAAGAAAAAUUUUCAAAUGUUAAAGUUUCUAAAACUCAUCUUGAAAAAGAAAAUGAGAUUCUAAGAAAGAAAAAUGAAUAGUUGAACUCCUCUCUUUCAAUCUUUUCUUCUAGACAAAAAUCUUUUGAAAUGAUUCUAACUAGCUAAAAAUGUGUUUUUGACAAACAAGGGUUAAGAUUUAAAUCUUCAAAAAAUCAAAAGUAUUUUAAAAACUAUUUUGUAAAGGAAUCCACAAGUGCAAGUCCUUCCACUACUUGCAACUUUUGUGGAAGAGAAUGGCACAUUAGUAGUACGCCCUUUAAGAAAUGGUUCUCAAAAGAAUUUAAAUGCAAAAACUAAAAAAGAUUUGGAUUGAGAAAUCCAAGGUCACUAACCCUCAAGGACCCAAAAAGAUAUAGGUACCUAAAUCAACUUGAGUUUUAUGUUGUAAGGUUCAAAGAAUGAUAAGUGGUUCUUAGAUAAUGGUUGCUCAAGACACAUGACCGGAGAUGAAUCCAAGUUUGCUUUUCUUAAAAAGAAAAAUGGAGGAUAUGUUACCUUUGGAGACAAUGCAAAAGAAAGGAUGAUUGGUCAAGGCAACAUUGGUAAUGGCACAUCCUCUCUCAUUGAAAGUGUUUUAUUAGUAGAUGGUUUCAAACAUAACCUUUUAAGCAUUAGUCAAUUUUGCGACAAAGGUUUUUAAGUGAUUUUUUAAGCAUCUCAUUGCAUCAUCAAGGAUAUUCAAAAUGAUAAAACCAUUUUCAUGGGCCAUAGAUGUGAUAAUGUUUAUGCUAUAAAUAUUUCAAAAUAUGAUGGCCAUGAUAGAUGUUUUUCAAGCAUGCAUGAUCAAAGUUGGUUGUGCCAUAGGAGAUUGAGACAUGCUAACAUAGACCUCAUUUCCCAACUCAACAAAGAUGAACUUGUUAGAGGCCUUCCCAAAAUAAUUUUUUAAAAAGAUAAAGUUUGUGAAGCUUGUCAAGUGGGAAAGUAAAUCAAAAACUCUUUUAAAAACAAAAACUUCAUUUCCACAUCUAGGCCACUUGAGUUGUUGCAUAUGGAUUUAUUUGGUCCCUCUAGGACACCAAGUCUUAGAGGAAAUUCUUAUGCAUAUGCUAUUGUGGACGACUUCUCUAGAUACACAUGAGUCUUGUUUUUUAGUCAAAAGAAUAAAGUUUUUUAUGAGUUUUCAAAGUUUUGCAAUAAGAUUCAAAAUGAAAAAGGUUUUUCAAUUACUUAUAUAAGAAGUGAUCAUGGGAGAGAAUUCGAAAAUAUUGAUUUUGAAGAGUAUUGCAAUGAGCAUGGAAUUGACCACAAUUUUUUGGCUCUUAGAACUCCUCAACAAAAUGGGGUAGUUGAAAGGAAAAAUAGAACUCUUCAAAAAAUGACAAGAACCAUACUAAAUGAAAACAACUUACCAAAAUAUUUUUAGGCCAAAACGGUUAACACUUCUUGUUAUGUUUUAAAUAGAGUAUUAUUGAGGCUCAUACUUAAGAAAACUCCCUAUGAGCUUUGGAAAAACAAAAAACCCAACAUUAGUUAUUCCAAAGUCUUUGGAUGCAAUAUUUUAUAAUAAACACCAAAGACAAUCUUGGAAAAUUUGAUGCAAAAUUGGAUGUUGGAAUUUUCCUUGGUUACUCAACUUCAAGUAAAGCUUUUCGAGUUUUAACAAAAGAACCAUGGUUGUAGAGGAGUCCAUCCAUGUUAUUUUUUAUGAAUCUCCAAGAAAGAGAGAGGAUUGAUGAUGAUUUAGGUUUGAAGACCUCUAUAGGAAGAUUGCAAAUCGAAGAUAGAAGACAACAAGAAGAAAAUGGAGAGAAUCCAAAGAAAGAAGGAUCACCAUUGGCACUACCCCCUCAUCAACAAGCGCAAGGUGAAUCAAGUCAAGAGCUUCCUAAAGAAUGGAAGUUUGUCAUCAAUCACCCACAAGAUCAAAUUAUAGGCAAUCCAUCUAGUGGGGUAAGAACUAGAUCCUCUCUUAGAAAUAUUUGCAAUAAUCUAGCUUUUAUCUCUCAAAUUGAGCCUAAAAAUAUAAAUGAUGUUUUAGAUGAUGAAAAUUGGAUAAUUGCAAUGCAAGAAGAGUUAAAUCCAUUUGAAAGAAGUGGAGUAUGGGAAUUAGUACCAAGACCUUCAAAUCAAAGUGUUAUUGGAACUAGAUGGAUCUUUAGAAAUAAAAUGGAUGAAAAUAGCAUAAUUGUUAGAAAUAAAGCAAGAUUGGUAGCCCAAGGUUUUAAUCAAGAAGAAAUGAUAGAUUAUGAAGAAACCUUUGCCCCCGUAGCUAGGUUGGAAGCCAUUAGGAUGCUACUUGCCUUUGCAUGUUUUAAAGACUUUGUUUUAUAUCAAAUGGAUGUGAAAAGUGCUUUUUUAAAUGGUUUUAUAAAUGAAGAAGUAUAUGUUGAACAACCACCCGGUUUUCAAAGUUUCAACUUUCCUAACCAUGUUUUUAAACUUAAAAAGACACUUUAUGGUUUGAAACAAGCACCUAGAUCAUGGUAUGAAAAAUUGAGUAAAUUUCUUUUGAAAAAAAUGUUUUAAAAUGGGAAAAAUUGACACAACUCUUUUUAUAAAAACCAAAGAAAAUGAUAUGCUCUUAGUUCAAAUAUAUAUUGAUGAUAUCAUUUUUGGUGCUACUAAUGUCUCUCUUUAUGAAGAAUUUUCUAAGUGCAUGCAUAGUGAGUUUGAAAUGAGCAUGAUAGGAGAACUCAACUUCUUCCUUGGACUUCAAAUCAAGCAACUAAAGGAAUGAACCUUCAUCAAUCAAGCAAAGUAUAUAAGAGAUCUUCUCAAAAGGUUCAACAUGGAAGAAGCCAAAACAAUGAAGACUCUAAUGAGCUCAUCCAUUAAGCUUGAUAAGGAUGAGAAAGGUAAAUCCAUUGACUCUAUUAUGUAUAGAGGCAUGAUAGGUUCUUUGCUCUAUUUGACCACUAGUAGACCUUACAUUAUGUAUAGUGUGUGUUUGUGUACUAGAUUUCAAUCUUGUCUUAAAAAAUCUCACUUAAGUGUCGUGAAAAGAAUCCUCAAAUAUUUGAAAGGGACAAUGGACAUAGGCUUAUGGUAUCCUAAGAGUGAUAACUUUGAAUUAAUUGGUUUUUUGGAUGCUGAUUUUGUCAGUUGUAGGGUUGAAAAAUAAAACACUAGUGGCACUUUUCAUUUCUUAAGACACUUACUUGUCUCAUGGCAUAAUAAGAAGCAAAAUUUGGUAGCUUUGUCAACAGCAGAAGCUAAAUACAUAGCAACUGGUUUAUGUUGUGCACAAAUCCUUUGGAUGAAAUAAACACUUAGUGAUUUUGAUUUAUCUUUUGAGCAUAUUCCUAUUAAAUGUGAUAAUAGUAGUGCCAUAAGUAUAUCAAAAAAUCUCGUGCAACACUCUAGGACUAAGCAUAUAGAGAUUAGACAUAAUUUUCUUAGAUAUCAUACACAAAAGGAUGAUAUAACACUUGAAUUUGUAAGCAUAAAAGACCAACUUGCCGAUAUCUUUACAAAACCUCUAAGAACAUUUUGUUGAUAUUAGAGGACAAUUAGGAGUGAUUUCUUUAUGAUCUAAUGUGAUGAAUUCUUGAUGAAUAUACUUUUUGAUUGCAUGAAUUUCAUGUCAUAUAUGCAUCAUAUAGAAAUAUACUUAGAUAAUGGUCAAAUUUCGACCAAAAAUCAAAAUUCCCAUGGCAUUAGGCAUAAAAAUUUUGGAAUUUCAACUGAAAAUGGUAGGAGGAGGAUCACAAAAUGAGAAAGUAUGCAAAAAUUGAAAAAUCAAAACGUUGACCAAGCGGUCAAUCGGACUAGACCGAUCGACUAGUUUGUCGAGAUUUAGGAUUUUUAAGAGACUCCAACGCUUCAAUUUUUGCACCGUUCUCCUCUAUUUCUUCACGGUUUCUCUGAUUUUGUCUUUUAGAGACUAAUUUGAGUGCGUUUUGGAUCAAUUGAAGCAUUUUGGAUUGGAUUUUAGGAAGAUUGAAAGUUAAGGUUUCGGAUUUGGGUCGCCUUCUCUUCCUCUCGCGUGUCACAAUCAGCUUUAGCAUUGUUCUCUUUCCAUUUUCACACACCUAGGGUUUCAGUUGUGAGCAUCUCUCUCUCUUUACCAACCACUACUCCCUUGCUUCUUCCAUAUGGCUCCUAGGCGAGAGUCCGCUACUUCUAGGGCACAAGGCAAGCACCCAACUGAGUCGUCUCAGUCAAAGGCACGUCGAAAAGUGAGAUUUGACAUUGCCUUGUUCAGUUCCAUGGAGGACUACCAACUAUACAAGCAACACUUUGCUUAGAGACGAGUAGUUCCCAAGAGAAAUAUUAAUUUUCCUCAACUUCAGCAUUUCGAAUUUAAGGGUCUAUUUACUAGGAUGGUUGGUUGUCUAUUGUCACAAUUUCGGAGCCGGUUUUCCUGACCUUAGUGCGAGUUUUUUACUCGAGGGCGACUUAUGGCAUGGGUGGCAUGAUCAUUUCUACUGUUGGAGGAGUUGAGAUCUGUCUGGACCCAGAGAGCAUCUGCCAUAUUUUCGAUAUUGCUCUGGUUGGACUCAAAGUAUACAAGUCCAAAAUGUGGCCCAUUGUGCCAGGAUUUGAGCUUAGAGAGGUCAUUCAGAGGAUUUGUGAACUUCCAGACGCCCAGGAGAUGGGCAAACCAUUGCCACACAGUUUGACGGUCAUCAACAGGGUGCUACACCAUAUAUUGUGCUCUAUCUUUCUACCACGAAGUGGACAUUGAGAUGAGGUCUCUUAUUAUGAGGCAUUCCUUAUUGACUCCAUUCUAACGGAGAGACGAAUUCAUCUACUAUGUCAUCAUUCACUAAGCCUCCUCACAGUGACAUACCACCUCAUCAGGCACCUCUUGCUCCUGACCAUGCUCCAUUGAUGGAUUUAUUUACUCAUAUUAGCUCUCUAGGCACUCGCAUGAAGGAGUUUGUUGUAGUUAGUGAUACAUGGUUCUACUCCAUAGAGGAUCGCAUGGAUCAGUAUCAGACUGGCUUCACGUCACAGUUUGAGUAUCUCCAAUAGAGGAUUGAGCAUAUUGAGGAUCACUUGAGCAUGAGAAGAUGAUGGCUUUUCUAUGCUCUGUGUUUCCACCUCCACCUCGUCAACCUUGAUUUCUUAGAGACCCAUUGUUUUCAUUUUGUAAUGUUGCCAAAAGGGGGAGAUAUUUAGGAUCUAGGACUCUAUAGGAGACUUACAUGCAUAUCAUUUUCAUAUCAUUGUUUGGAUCGUACAUAUUGGAUAGUGAUACUUUUUACUUAUAUAUGAUAUGCCUAUAUGUUUCAUGUCUUACAUUGUUUCUUAUUGCAAAUUAUCUCUAACAUGUCUUGAUUAUCUUUUUUUUAACUUCAUAAAUUUUGAUUGUUAACCCAUGAUUGGUUUGAGGGGAAGAUUCUUCUUCUCCUAGAUAACCAAGGUUUGUCAUCAUAAAAAAAUUGGAGAUUGUUAGCCCAAGGGUUCUCCUAAUCAUGUUUUGAUGAUAACAAACCAUGCUUAAGUUACUAAUUGGUUUGAAUUAUAAAGAAUUUCAAGUGUUAAUUUGAAAAUUCAUCAAAGAACCUAAUGGAUGCAAGAUCAAGAUUUUUGGAAGACCUUUAAUCAUAAGAAACAUAUGUAAGAUGAAUGCAUGGGUGCACUUAAGAUUUGCAUAUCAUUUCAUGCAUAUUUGGAAAACACGGUUUAUGCUUUAAAGUUACAUUUCCAUCAAAAUUUGAGAUCCAUCAAAUGAACCUUAGGAAAAAUGUUUUAAAAUUGGCAUAUAAUUUUACCUAAAGACCUUGCCUAAGUGUUAGAAGCAAAAGGACAAAAAAAAUAUAGGUUUUCUGGUCAAAAAUGGUGAACCAGUCAAGGCAUUGUCUAAAUCAGCUCAAUCGGCCAAGGUACCGGUCGAUCGGUUUCCCUUUCCCUGUCGAGAUCUAGUCAAGAGGUACAAAAAUCACAAUCUCUGUCUCUUUCUCUCUUUGUCUAUCUUCCAGUAGUCUUUCCUUCCCGGUCGAGGGAUUUGCCUUCCCGAUUGAGGUCCGAUUGAGAGUAAUAGUCACUUGCCAAAUAUUAAAUGCUCCAACAGUUAGUGAACUGGUCGACCCCCACCUUGCCCAGUUGAGGUUACUUUUUGGUUUUCUUGGCUCCCGAUGUUAGAAACCUAUAAAUAGAGAGUUCCACUUCAUUUAUGAGCAAGAGAACACUUGCAUUUAUUUGUUUACCUACUUGUUCUUGCCUUAAAAGCUCUCAUUUCUUUUCUUGGUGCAUUAAAUCUCCAUUUUGAUAUCCUUUAGUGCACCUUUGUGAUUCAUCUUAGCCUUGAGUUGUAUUUGAGCCCUUUUUUUAGCUAGGUUGAGAGUUUCAUACUUGUUAAUUGAGUGUUAAAGCCUUCAAGUGAGUUGAAACUUGUAGAGAUUAUGUGAGAGUCGAUUGGAGCCGAAAUCCAAGUGUAAAGGUGAUUAGAAGCUUGGUUGAAGCUUCAAGUUAGUGGAAUCCUCACUCAAUUAGGAGCUUGAGGAGAGUGGACGUAGCCAAGGAAGUGUCGAACCACUAUAAAAUUUGAGUUUGAUUUCUCUAACAUUGUCUCUUUAUAUUUGUUUAUCUUGUGCUUAAAUUUAUUGUGUUUAAAAAGAAUUUUUAAAUACCCAAUUCACCCCCCUCUUGGGUGUUUUUCUCUUUUAAAAUUAGCCUUUAUUUUCUCACAAACUAUUGUAGUAUAGUGGUUUUUAGGUGUCAUCCAUUAGGAUGAAUUGUUCUCGGUAAUUAAGGCGUGAAUGAGAGGAGAAUUAAUGAUUGUGAUUAAGUAAAAUUGAUUUGAAAAUUCAUGGUGAAAAAUCAAUUUAACAAUGGUUUCUAAUUGAGAAAAACAAUGAAAUGUGAAAUAAAAUAAAAUUAAUAGGAAAUGAAAUUCUCGAAGUUAGAAUUUUCUAAAAAACAAAUUCCAUGGUGAAUGGAUGUUGAGAUCUAAUUUUCAUCAAGUUAGAUUGAAAACCGAAAUUUUCAUAUAAACUGAUUUUUUAUUUAGUUUUAGGUCUAGAUUUAAUUUCCCUUAAAAUUAGGUUAUUUAAUCCAAGAAAUCAAUUCAAAUCAUAUAUUCAAUUCAUCUUAAAUUAUCUUCCAAUUAUUCACACAAUGCAACUAUUCAAUCUCAUCAAAUCUAGCUUUUAAGAAUUUAAUGAAUCUACCUAGUUUGCAUUGUAAUAGUCAUCCAUGACAAUUUGAAGAGAAAAAUAAUUCAAUUAAUCAAUCACUUGGAUCAAAUUACCUUUGCAAUUAAAGUUCAUUUCUCUAAUUCACCACAGAUUUUGUCUCUAGAUCCUCCUUUCUCAAAGAAAAAUGAGAUUUAGCCACACAUGAUUGGAGAUUUGGUCUCAUAAGGCAUGUUUAGCUAGUGAUAAAAUGAGAGAAAAUAAAGAAAAAUAGAGAAUUCGAUUAAGAAAGAAAAUCUAAAAAAUUCUACAAUUAGAAAUGUCCAAAAAGCUUUUUCAUGAGAAAAUCAAGUUUCUAUUUAUAGGCCAAGGUCAAGUGGACACUUGACAUCAUCUAAGAGGUCUUCCGGAAGCUUCUUCAUCAAGAAAUCUGGAGUUUAAUAAUAAAAUGGUCAUUUCACAAGAGCUCAAACAAUUUCGCAUGAUUAUGUGAAAUAAAAAAUGCAACAACAGCAAUUUACAUCUUCUUGGAGCAUUUCGCAUGACUGUGUGAAAUUUUCACAUGAUCAUGUGGAAUCGACUUGACAACUCUCAUUUAGCCUACAACAUAAUUCCACCUUUUGGUCCAUUUUUCAUAGUCAUGCGAAAUGGAAAUAUUUGAUUUUUAAGUUUUCUUUUGUCAUUUCUUUCAUUUCCUUCUCUUGAUUCCACUUCAACUACCUCCGAAUCCUGGUCCAAACCAAUUGCAUUACUUCUUUCAUUAUGCAUUUGGAUCAUCAUCAACAUUAUUUGUUCUCUUCAAUUUGAUUCAUCUCUUUUGUCACCAAUUUAUCAAAAUCAUACCUUGAAAUGACUCCAAAACUUCAUAAAACUUGUUAGUAACUCUUGCAAGGGCAACAACAUAUUAAUUAAGUGUUUUAGGCAUAGUUACUACUCAAAAGAUGCGAAACUCAUGAUAAUUAUUAUAUAAAAUAUGCUCUUUUUGAGUAGUAAUCAACUUUCUUGCAUAAGCAGACCUUUUAGGGUGGAGUACUAAAGACCAAUAUGCUUGUCCUUGUUGUAAUAAAGAAACUUGCUCUUAUUGAUUGCACCAUGGGAGAAAAUUUUGCUACAUGAGUUAUCAUCAAUUUCUUCCCACCAAUCAUAGAUUUAGACGUGACAAGAGGCCUCUUAAUGGCAAGGAGGAACUGACACUCACACUUAUACAAUUAUCGGGCAUUGAUGUGUUGCAACAAUUAGAAUAACUUACACCAAUUAUGUUGGGGAAGUCACAAAAGGCAAACAUGAAAACUAAAAGGAAAAAAGAAAAAUGUUACAUAUCACCACAACUGGAAAGAAAAAAGUAUUUACUUUCAUUUGCCAUAUUGGAAAGCACUUAUUUUACAUCAUAAUAAUUUAGACAUAAUGCAUAUUGAGAAAAAUGUGUGACAAUAUAAUUGAGACAUUGUUCAGUAUUGACGAAGAAACAAGGACAACCUAAAUAGUCAUCUCGAUUUACAAGCUCUAACUAUUAGAAAUGAGAUUCACCCAAUAGAAAGCAGGACCAAAUUUAUUUUGCUUGCAACAUGCUACUCACUCACCCCAAAUGAGAUUAAGGAAUUUUGCAAGUUUUUGAAAUCAAUAAAGGUCCCCAAUGGCUAUUCUUUCAAUAUCUCUCGUUAUGUGCAACUCAAUGAAAGGAAGAUAUAUGAGCUCAAAUUGUAUGAUUGUCAUGUCCUAAUGCAACAACUUCUCUCACUUGUAGUUCGUGGAGUUCUACAUAAGAAUGUUUGUGGAGUUAUCAUAGAAUUGCGUAAUUUUUUCAAGCAAUUGUGCUCAAAGGUGUUAGAAACAAAUCACUUACACCAACUUGAGAACAAUAUUAUUGUCAUACUAUGUAAAAUGGAGCAAAUAUUUCUUCCAUCAUUCUUUGAUAUUAUGGUGCAUUUACUUGUGCAUCUAGUAAGGCAAAGGUUGCAAGACUUGUGCAAUAUUGUUGGAUGUACCUAAUUGAACGAUAUUGUUAUAAUUUCAUAUGAAUCAUUUAAUUUUAUUUUAUAUUAUGUUCAGUUCAUUAACAUGUACAUUGGUCUACAUAUGGAUGAUGAUAGGUACCUAAGCACUUUAAAGUCAUAUGUGCGUAAUAGAACUUUUCUAGAAGGUUCUAUUGUAGAAAGGUACCUUGCAAAAGAAUGUACAACAUUUUAUUCUAGGUACUUGAAUGAUGUGGAAAUAAAGUAUAAUCACAAUGAUAGAAACUUUGUUGGUUUCAACACUAGAGGAGAUGAAAGGGGUUAUCUUUAAACAUAUUGGACAUGCAUUGGGAAAGCCCAUAUUUCAUUAACUUAGUUCAAAAGAGUGGUCACAAGCACAUUUAUAUGUGUUGACAAAUUGCGAAGAUGUCAUACCAUUCAUUGAGUAAAAAAUUUAUUUGAAUUUUAAUUAAAGCUCUAGUUUAUAUCCUUAAUCAAUGUUUUUUAAAUUCACAAGGAGCACAAGCAAACCAUCAAGGCUAGACCACAUAUACGUGUUUGAGACGUAGAUUUAAUUCAUAACAAGGAAUUUAUCAAGUGGUUUGAAAGACAUGUAAGUAUAUUCCUUAUUAUAAGGGAUUUAUUUCACAUUAUGUUUAUAUUGAAUCCAAACCUAUUAUUGAAUUGUAGGUUGAACAAUUACAUAAUGAAGGUCAUAUAUCUGAACACCUUCUCACAUUAUCAUGUGUUCCAAAUUCAUUAGUUACAUGCUUCAAAUGAUAUAUUGUCAAUGGAUUUAGAUCCCACAUUAAAGAACGUGAUAAAAAAGUUUUUAAAAAAAGACUCAGAAUAAUGGAAUUGUUGUAGUUGCAAAAACGUCAAGCUUUACAAGUGCAUGUGAUAUGAGUCCAAUUAUUAGUGAUGCUCUCUACUAUGGUGUUCUAACUAAAGUUGUUGAGUUACAUUAUCUUGGUGAAAAUAAGGUUGUUUUAUUCGAGUUUGAUUGGUGGGAUGUUACAAAUAUUGGAAAAUUGAUAAAAGAUGAUGAGUACAAUUACACAUUUGUUAACUUUGCAUGAAUUCUAACCACGAACGAACGAUUUGUACUUGCAUCUCCAGCAAAGUAAGUGUUCUAUGUGAAGAAUGCGAAUGAAUCAGAUUGGCAUACUAUCAUGGAGAUGCAACCUCAAGACCUCUAUAAGAUGAACGGGAUAGGAUCCAAUGGUGAUUUUGAACCAUUUCAACAAAGUGAACUACAUGAUCACUAAUAUAUCUCAGAUUUAGUUGAUGAAGAUAUAAUCAAGUGGAACAAAAGUGAUGUUUUAGGACUAAUCAUCCUAAAAAAUAUUGUAGUUUCUUAAAAAAAAAAUGAAAAUGAAGAAGAUAAUUGAACCUUUGUCAUACUUUAAAAAGCAACUAUGCAUUGUUCAUUUUGUAUGUUUUGGUUUUCUUCAUUUAAUUUCCUGAUUUUUGUGAUUCAAUGUCAUAUUAUUGAUCUUGAAAUAUUUUUCUAAUUUUUCAUUCUACGAUGGUUUCAACAAGGAUGACAUCAAGUCAAAAAAGGAAAUGUGGUCCCACACACAAUAUUGCAUUACAGGGAUUAAGGUCAGGGAAGAAGGUAAAAGUUGCAUUUAAUGAGUACAAUCAAUUGGUUAAACAGAAAAAUGGAAAACACUUAUCGAGCUACAUAGGGACACUUGUAUCUAACCAACACAAUGUACCUCUCCAAGCUAGUGAUUGGAAAAAUGUUCCAAAUGAUGCAAAAGAGAAAGUAUGGCCUUUGUUUUGGUAUGUUGUAUUUCUCACUAUAUGAUGUCAUUUCACUGUUAUUCUAUUUUGUGACUAACGUUUGAAUCAUAUGUAAGAAAAAUUUGAAGUAGAUAAAGACUGAAAAGAUUACAUGUUGGGUAUAGCCUCAAAUAAAUAUAGAAGCUAUAAAAAUAUGAUGAAUGCAAAAUACUAUGACCCUUGGCAUAAGGAUGCAUGAGGAGAGGUUAAUACAUAAAUCACCAUUUGUCUCUGAUGUUGAUUGGAAGUGGCUUGUCUCUGAUGCAUAAACCAAAUCCCCCACUGAAUGUUUGAUAUUUGAUAGCAGGAAAAACACACCCGCAGCUAUACACCUCCAUCAUUCAGAUAAUUAUAGUGGGGGAGAUGAUUCAUGGUUGCCCUUAUACCCUUUAUUUGCACCAUCUAUUGAGAUUCUUUAUCAUGGCCAGGUUUUACUGCAGCAAUAAGAUAUGGUGGCAACAAUUUUAUCUAUAGGUGCGGUUCCAGACCGCCUCCAUAGGUGCGGUUCCUGACUGCCUCCAUAGGUGCCUCUUCUUGUAAUGUUUGUUCUGGGAAUUACACUUGAAAGCCUUAUCGUGAUAAGGGAUUACAAACACUAGUUCAGAGGACAGCCAUGUUAAACUUCCACUAUGUUUGUGUCACAUUAUCAGCAGCCUAGUGUUUAUUGGUCAUGCUAUCUGCAACUAAUAUAACCCGGUGAACUUCAAUCUAAAUUCUGAAAGUACUCAUGUGACAGAUGGUGCCUUUCAGCAGAUAUCAUCAAUUUAAAAGUAGUGUGUGUGCCUAUAGGUGGGAAGGCCUUGGCAAAUGUUCAGUAUUCCGGUAAUUCAAGAAGGAUAUAUCUAAAAUAGAUUUUCUUCUUGCCCAUUUCAAUAGUUAAAAUUUGAGAAGAUUGUGUCCACAUCACACAAAUAUUAUUGGUCCUUCUGUUGCAAUUUACCUCUGAACAUGUCUUCCAAUUCCCACGGUCCUGUUACUCCAGGAAAACUAUUUCGGUCAUAUUGAAAAAAAAAAUAUUAAAGAAGGUACACAUGCUUUUAAGUGGACUGGGGCAUUCAUAUCAGGUGGUCUGUAUCCACAUAUGCCACUUCGUGAAAGGUGGAACAGCCUAAUCACUAGGCUAUUUAGUGUGGCCCAGCCACGUUAAUCAAGCACAAGUCUUCAUACUUAAAGUCAAAUGGUGUCUUUAGUCUCAUUACACAUCGCUAUUUGAAGAUUAACUCAUCACUAGUGUAAUGCGAUUAAGACAGUCCUAACUCAAUAUUUGUUCUAGUUUUGGAUGCAAAUGCUUGCUGGUUUCAUCAUUGGAUGGGAUAAAGGUGCAAUCAGGACUAUGAAUACGUGCAGUAAUACUUCAUUCUCUUUUUUCUCAAUGAGACUUCUUGGCACAAUUUUGCUGCUCAGCAACCUACCUUUCCAUGGAAAAUCAGUUGUGACUGAUAGUAAUGGAUAUAUUCUAGAAAGCUAAACAUAGAUAGCAUUCAAUAUUAUCGAUAUAACAUUAACAGCGUAUGUCUCAAUGCUCAUCAGCUACAAGCAAUGGACAAACACUUUGAGUAACUCACAGCAGUCAAAAUUCCUAAACAGGACAGACGUGACAGAUCUAUAUAUAGAACACUGCAUAUGAGUCACAGGAAAAGAUAAUACGGGUACAUAGAAGCUCUUAUUUUACAUAUUACUCAUACUGAUCAAAGUCGCUCAGUUGGGAUGGAUGGGAGAAGGAGGUUUGAGGGGUGGCUUGUGCGGGGAAGUUGGCAGCUUCUUUCCGGGAGCUGGUUGCUUCUUUGCUGGAGUUGAAGGAGGCUUAAUCUUCCGAGGUGGCUUGUAUGAGUCUUCAGCAUUCUCAGCAGGAGGGUGACCAGGGUUGUGACCAUAAUGUGGUGGCUUCUCUCCCUUAGGUGGUUUGCCAACUGGGGUUGGUGGCUUGUUUUCUGGGAGUGGCUUCUCUCCCUUGGGUGGUUUGCCAACUGGGGUUGGUGGCUUGUGUUCUGGGAGUGGCUUCUCCCCCUUGGGAGGUUUUUCGAAUGGGGUGGGUUUGUGUCCUGGUGGUGGCUUCUCUCCCUUGGGAGGUUUACCAAUUGGGGUCGGUGGCUUGUGUUCUGGGAGGGGCUUCUCUCCCUGGGGAGGUUUAGUGGGUGGCUUGUGUUCUGGAGGUGGCUUCUCCACCGGAGGCUUAUGCUCUGGUGGUGGCUUCUCGAAGGGGGGAUGCUCAGGGUAAUCACCAAGUGAGGGGGUGGUGAGAACCACCAUGCCAAGCAACAACACUAGCAAGUAUGUAGUAGACAUCUUUGGGUUUGGACUCAGACAGUGCAAAACUACGAGAAAUCGCUAGCCCUUUAUAGCGGCUCGGACCUAAUACUGACAUAAUAUAAAAUAAAUAUUAUAUUUUAUCAAGAGAGAACAGAGUGUAAUUUUAUCAUUAAUACCGAUCGAGGCCAAAGAAAGAAGACCCAUAAUCCAUUUCCCACAAGCAUACACAAUGCAGCUGUAAUUUUAUCAUUUACUUUUAUCCCUUGGACCACUGCAUUUUUGUUGAGAGACACAAUAACACAUUUUUAUCUGUCAUUCAACAUUUACAGUAAAGAGAGGGCACAAAACGCAAUUAGAUAAAUUAUGUUUUGCCUGCUAAAAAGAGGCAAAUAACUUUAUUUGCAACAUAAUUAUUUUGGUUUCUAGUGACCCCGGGGCCUUUCGGUUGGUUUGGGAUCGGAAAAUGAACAUCAUAGGGGGGGUUGUGCCCUUAUGGGCAUAUAUAUCUGAUAGCUUCAACUGGCCUUGUUCCUAGAAAGAAAUUGCCAAAGAUAUAAACUUAUUCCAGGCUGAAAGUAGAUGAGAGUCAUAAUGAACAUCAACCUUUGUUCAGUUUGAUUCAAUGCCCCCAUAGUGUUCAUUUCACAGAUCUGAAUGAUUAUAUCCGUUGAAUACAUAAAUUAAUGAAGACAAAUAUGAAACCCAAGAUACAUCUCUGCAUAACAACCCCAACCCUGGUUGCUAUGUUUCCCUUCUUCUAUUCACAUGAGGAUACUGGUUAUAAUUGUCAAACUUGCAACAAGCCCUUUGACACCUAACGUCAAUGGACGAAUUAAAAGUCUCCUUCAAACGUCUAUUUCACAGCAUGAAGCUUAUAAAGGAUGCUGACAACCUUCAGAGUUAGCGACAAAAGAUAAUUAUCAAGGAGAGAUAGUUCCAUGAGAAUUCCAAGGAGUCUGAAUCAAAGACAAAUUGCUCACUCAAGGGUUCUUAUUUUCUUUUAGGUACAAAUCUCUUGAGUGUUGUUAAAGAAACACGUCACUGUCAUUUUGAUUUGCAUUUAACAUUUCACUUUUGUUCUGGAAGGUUUGUUCCGGAAACAUAUCAAAUGAGCAUCAUUUUCUUCUUCGGUGACACAUGGUCGCGAGUACGUGGGUCCAUUUUCAUGCCACUUAGUUGAAAAGUUGGAAAGAAAAAACAUGCCAACAAGAAGAUAGUGAGAGAAGGGGCACUUCAAGCCUUUAACAUGAACAAACAGUAAAUAAAAGAUGUUUCUCCACUCAUAAAAGUGUGUUAGAUAGCAAUAUAACGAAUCACAUCCAAAAUCUUUACUAGGCUCAAACAUAAAGAAGACUCAUUUUUAAGAAAAGAUAAAAAUGGCAUUGUCUGAUAGUAUCCAAUACACGAGAUGGCACUUAAUUUGUACAAGAUCUGUCAAUGCUGACGCACAUUUUCUGAUUAAAAAAAAACUGAUCAGUCAAAAGCAAUGAAGAGAAGUGAUGACAAUGAAUGAUGCUUCCAAUAUUUUCACCCCUUAUAGUGUUCUUCAUGAUUCAGAUAUAUAAUUGGAAAUAGAACAACCCUAUGCCAUACAUUCGUCUAAGUAUGGUGUCUAAUUUUUUGUGUCAGCGGUUGCGAAUGGAGCGUGCAAAAGUCCAAAUUGGCGUCUCUCCAUUUCCACAUAGGAAGGUGACCUUUAUUGACAAAUACCCAAUAUUUGUAGACAUUCCUUAAAUAUCAUAACUUCUUGUUGAUUUGAAAAUCAUUUUUCAACUACCAUGUUUUAAUAAAUAUUUUUUAAAAUGUAUUUUUAUCAAAGUCCACCAUGAUGGAUAAUAUUCACCAUGCAAUAAUUAAUAAAGUACAAACUAAGCGAAAUGAAAAGCAUUUUCUUUGCUUUGAGUUGAUUUUGGUUGCAUUGAGUUGAUUUUGGUUUCAUGGUUUUUUCAACUCUUAUUUUGAUUGGAAGAUGUCAAGAAAAGAAAACAUAAAGAAAAAUUAAAAGGGAAAAAAGAAGAAAAAUAAAAAAAAAUAGAUUUAAAAGUUAAUAAAUUAUUUUUUAUAUUUAUUUUAAUUCAUUUCACUUAUUUUUCUUUUACUAUAUAAAAUUUAAAUAAUUUAAAUUUUAUAAUUAAUUUAAUUACAUUUCAUUUUCUUCUAUAUUUAAAUAUUGGAAAAAUAUUUUACUUAAUAUUUUUUUCUUUAAUUUCUUUGGCAUUUUGGGAACCAAACUUAGCCUUUAAAAUAAAAAACAAAAAAAAAAUGAAAAUAAGGAGGGAAAAGUGAGAAAAGAUAAAAACAAUAUGUAAAGGAUUUGAAAAGUAUUAGUUUGUAAUUACUAUUUGGAUUUCAAUAGUAUUUUAUUUGUCUUUCUAUAUUUCAUGUAAGAGAGAAUUUAAGAUAUUCCCCAAGGCAAAGCAUUAGUUACCUGCAAUCAGUGGUGAUAAGGCUCCAAGCCAAUUUUGGGCCCCAUAUCUUAAGACAGUACAAUUUCCAUUUCAACAUUUCUGAUUUCUCAGAUGUUUCACAUACCACAGAAGAACAUUGUUUGUGAAAAUAUGCAUUUAUGUUGGAUUUUGUAUGCUGUGGGGACUGGGGCAAGGAUCAUAUGGAAGAGUGGUUGACUUUUUCUGUACUUUAACGGUUGAAAUAGGAUAAGCACGGGCAUUUGUGAGGCUUAAUUGAUUUUGAAGCCUGAAAUUGCGUUUCUGUCAUUUUGUCAAAAAAAUGGCAGAUUCCAUACUCAUAUGUUUGGCCUGUGGCCAUGUACAGAUGCCAUUUAGUGACCAGUUUGUAACUGUCAAUCGUUGCGUUUUGACUCUGCCUCAACAACAUCUGCCAUUGACGGGUUUUCAUACUUGCAAAUCAAAUAGUCUUUCGUCCCAUCAGGAAUUUCGGUUUAAAUAUUAUUAAGCAUACGUUUGGCUGACAAUCAUUAUCCAGUUCAUGAUUUGGUUUCUUACCCUUAAUCAAUGGUUUCUAAGUGAAUAUAUGUAGAAGGAAAUCCGAAGUGUAGACAGUAGUAUCGAUAACUCUCAAUAUUCUCUAUAUAAUAGAAUAAACAGCGUCAUAGUGAUCGUCGCCUACAAGCAAGGUACAAAUACCAAAACGAGUGACUCACAUAGACAUCUCCCAACAAGAUGUAGUAGUGACUGACACAUGGACACAAUUAACUCGUAGAAAAGGAUAAGACCAUUGCACAGCAGCUCUUAUUUUACAUACUACUUAUGCUAACCAAAGUCAAUUAGUUGGGAUGGGUGGGAGAUGGAGGUUUGUGCGGUGGCUUGUGGGGCGGAGUUGAUGGCUUCUUUCCAGGAGCUUCUGGCUUUUUCAUCGGAGCUGAAGGAGGCUCAAUCUUAUGAGGCGGCUUGUAUGAGUCUUCUUUACUCUCGACAGGAGGGUGGCCAGGGUUGUGAUCAUAAUGUGGUGGCUUCUCUCCCUUAGGUGGCUUGCCAACUGGGGUUGGUGGCUUGUGUUCAGGAAGUGGUUUCUCUCCCAUGGGAGGUUUAGCAAUUGGGGUUGGUGGCUUGUGUUCUGGGAGUGGCUUCUCUCCCUUGGGAGGUUUAGUAGGUGACUUGUGUUCUGGAGGUGGCUUCUCCACCGGAGGCUUGUGCUCCGGUGGUGGCUUCUUGGUUGGAGGGGGCUUGGGGUAAUCAGCAAGAGAUGGGGUGGUGAGAACCACCAGUCCAAGGAACAACACUAGCAAGUAUGUGGGAGACAUUUUUGAGUUUGGGCUGAUCAGAUGAUGCAAAACUAAAGCAUUACGUGACCUUUUAUAGCAUGUAGCUCCCAAUACCCACUAAGUAUUGUGGGGUCCAUUUGUGCCCUACGGGGUUGAAAACUUAGACAAUUGGGCAAGGACCCACCUGACUAUGGAGGACUAGUGAGGUGUGAUCAUAGCUUUAGGAUUUUUCUUCCUCUGCAGCCGUCGUGCCGUUGGCAUGAUUUUCUUAAUCUUAAAUAAAGGCAUAGUUAUAGAGUUGUUUAAUCUCUAAAUGGGAUUUUAUAUAUAUCUUCAGAUAGCCAUUAAUAUAUUUGAUGAAGAAAGAAAGACAAGUGCAUACAACAUGUAUACGACUAGCUUUCAUGGAGUUCAUUUAUGAUCAGUUUUCCUGUACAUGUAAACCAGGAUCAUAUAUAUGUUUCUGUUCCACAACUAUUUUGGAAUCUUGUUUAUCAGUUUUUAUCAUUAUAAUGUCACAUAGGCUGCCAACUUGGGCGCUAAAAGAACCAGUUGGGCUAGUUCGUUUCAGAAUUUCAAUGUGGAUUCAGGAAUUGUUUUGUAAGAUAUGCGAAAUAGUAGAGGGAUGAAUAGUGUUUCAUUAAUAAAAGUGUCCUGUAAAUUAGAAGGUGUCAUAGAAACUAUAAUCAAUAAAUAACUUUUUUUCCCCACGGGUGGUGUUUCUUGUGGGGAUCAGUGACUGGUUUAGGUUCACCCAAAAUGAGUUCAGACUAAAAUUGGUUUGAGUCAAUGCCGUGUCUCUUUUUUCCAGAAAUCAACUAUUUUAUGCAUUGAAUAAAUCAUACAAAGAAAAUAUGAACGCCCGCAAAACCUAAACCCUGGUUGCUAACUUUCUAUGUUUCAGUUCUAUUCACGCAAGAAUAUUAGUUUAAGUUUGGGAAAAAUGGCAACUUACCUAGUGAUUACUUGGUUUUGGUUUGCGACUAUUUACGCAACCAACCAUGAGUUUGACUUUAACGUCAUGGGUUGAAGCCUCCUACAGGAAGGGAGAAAGCUCCACAGCUAGCUCCAAAAGAGAAUUAUCACAUUGAUAGCUCCAGAGAUUCCCAAGGGGACUGAAUCAAAGACAAGUUCCUCACUUUUUCUUCUUUUGAGGCCAAAUAUGAACCAAGGAUCACACAACCUCAUUCAACUUCAUAAGUUUGAUUUCAUGCAGUUGAACACUGGGUGAAGGCCAUGACAAGAAUUGAUUCAAAAAUUCUAUCACUCUUUUAAGUAAUGGAAGAUUAUUAUCUCUGAUUGGCAUCACAACAGCACAUGCUCCUAGAUCUUUCUAGACACUCCAUGCAAUGAAAGCACAAUGGAUCUUGUAACGAUAGAAACUAAGCCAUGCUACAGUACUAGAUGAUGAGGUAAAACUAGUAGACACGGGUGGCAGCCUAUAUGGGAGGGACACAAGUCUAAUUGAUUUGCAUUUCAGCAUUAUAGAUAGGUAUGUUUUGGAAGAUUUGUUCUGGAAAUACCGCACCAAGUAGGAUUCUUUUUCUCUUUAGUGGGUCCACUUGCAUGCCAAUUAACGAGUUGAAAAGUAUGAGCACCUACCUCGUGCUCGUGGAACCGAAGGUCAGUGAAGUGGGGCUCCUUUUGGCCUCGUGUAAACUUGAUUCAGAAGUGAAGUUAAUAGUCUUCCAUUCAGAUGGAUACAUGGGAAUUUUUCUCUUUUAUUUAUUUAUUUAUUUUUUUUUUGUGUGUGUAUGUCAAAGGAUAAUGAAUGAAGCGCGUUAGCUUGUUUUCUGACUGGAACCGCAGAUGUCCAAAUUGGAGUUCCUUCAUUUCUUACUUAGGAUUGUUACAUGUAUAAACAAGGUAUAAGAAAUAUGCCAACGUGUCUUGAGGAGUUAUUGAUUAGAAAUAACAAGUCACCCGACUGUAGAGUUCCAAGAUUUGAAUCUUCAGACCCUAUAGCAGCCUCUGGGGUACGUGGCAUCCUAUAGCAUAUUAAUGAAGGCUUUUUCGAUUUAGACUUCACAAUACCAAUUAAUAUGUAUGCACAAAAUGGAGAUGACCCCAAAAAAAACAGAAUCGCCAUAGUUUAUGAGGUUAAGGUGAUUCUCCACUUAAUAUCUACAUUAGCUAAUUAUGUAAAUCAAAUGAACUUCUAUUUUUCCUUUUUUUUUUUGGUUUAUGUCAAAUAGUAGCCCAUAAUUAACCCAACCAUUAGCCUGUUUGAAUUGAUUUCACAUGCACAAUGUUGUAGUAGUUCAUAUUUUGAAUUUUAUUUUUACAAAGGUAGUUAAGGAAAAUGAAGUAUAAUAAUUAUAAAAGCAGACUAUAUACACUACAAUAAUUGUUAGAAUGGUAUCUCAAAUUCUAAUUUAAAAUAUUAUUUUUUGUAAAAGAAAUAUUAUAUAGAAUAUUUCCUAAUUUUAUAAAUGAUUAUAAUUAGAUCUUUAUAAAAUAAGGAAAGUUGGUAAGAAUAUCUUUAUAAAUAUUUUAGGUCAUGAGAGAAAGAAAUGGGAUAAAAAUGUGAUGAAGAGGUGAAAUAAGAGAGUUGAUUAGGAUAUAGAUGUGAAGAAGAAAGGGAUUCAAUAUAUAUAUAUCUUUCAAUUACCACAUUAAAACCCUGUGAACCUUUUAUAUGGUUUACUUUAUUUUUAUAUUCCUCCUUUAAUAUAUUUACAUUAAUGCUUCCAUUGGCACAACAAUAACGAAUUACAAAUACAAGCAACAAGUCCCAUGUUUUAUUACCAAAAGCAGGUAAAAUCCACCUAAUAUAUUACAAUAUAUUCAUCCAAUAUUUUAGACCAAUUCUUCACCAUAAAUAUCAUAAUGUGGCUUUUGUUCUUUCUUAAAUUUAAAUUGAAUUGUCUUAUAUCAAUUUGUUUGUGAUUUUUUCAUUAACUUCACUUUCAUUUGGUUAUCUUUGGUUUUUGAAAAGUAUUAAGGAAUUAAUUAACAAAAUAAUGUUAAGAAAAAUAAUUUUCUCUCUUUUGAUUUUGAUUUUGUAGUAGAAAAAUAUAAUUAAAAUUAUUUAAAAAGUAUGUAAUUUUAAAUUAUUUAAUAUUUAGAUAAAAAAAAUAAGUCUAAUGAGUUUAAAAUAACAUAUAAAAAUAAUUUAUUUAUUUUAAAUUUAUUUUUUAUUUUCCAUUAUGUUCUCUUUCUCUUUUACUUUUUCAUAUUUUUUCUUACGAAGAAUCAAACACAACCUCAUAUUAUAUGUCAAGUGUUUGUCUAUAUUUGAGCAAUGUUAGAUACGGCCAUGGAUUCAUCAAACUAAACUGAUUUUAAUAGAUACUUCACAAAUUGAUUUAUACACUAAAUCAUUGGAUAGCAAUGAUGCAUUGGAAUUAAACGUAGGAUGAAGCUCGAAGAACACUGUUUGUGUAACAACAUAUUUAUGAAAUUAUGCAAAGGAUGAGCUUCGGGGUAGUAGUACAAGGUCAUUAAUGGAGAGCCGUGUUAAACCUUGAUUGUGAUUGGAUUCCGUUAUCAGCAACAGCAACCUUGUUUGUAACCUUGAAAGUCAUUCUGUCCACAUCGAAACUCCAAUUUGACGUUUGUAAUUACCAUUCCUGGAGUGUUCCUUGAUUGAAAUUUAAAUAAUAAUUGCGGCCCACAAGGAAUAUUUUCGAUUCUGUGGGAAUUUGACAAGGUUUGUUAGAGAAGACUGGUGACAUGUUGACUUCAAUGGUUCAAAUAGGAGACGUAUGUGGAUUUGGGGGGUUUAAUUGAAACUGAGUCCCUAUGGCUUUUUAAUAUUUGCAUUGAGCAGUCUCCAUGUGACUUCCUAAUUCCCACCAACCCUCCUGUCCAUGCUGUGAAACUAAAUUGUAAUUUAUCAGCCUUUGUCAAUGGUUUCUAAAUUAAAGAUAUAGACCAUGCAUGUACUUUAAUAAAAGCAAAUCUAAAGUGUAGAUAGCAGCAAUGGUGACACCCAAUAUUCUCCAUAAAAUAGAAUUAGAAUAAGCAGUGUUACAUUGUUCAUGAUCACCUACAAGCAUACAAGAACUUCCAUGAAUAACUCAUAGCAAUUGCCAACAGGGCGUCGUAGAGACUCAUACAUAGAACACUAUCCACCCAGAGGAAAGGACAAGACCAGUGCGCUGCAGCUCUUAUUUUUCACAUGUAUACCACCACUCGUAAUAACCAAAUUCACUCAGUUGGGAUAGGUGGGAGAUGGUGGUUUGUGGGGUGGCUUGUGGGGAGGAGUUGGAGGAGGCUUUAUUUUCUGAGGCGGCUUGUAUGAGUGUGCAGGAGGAUGCCCGGGAGUGUGACCAUAAUGUGGUGGCUUCUCUCCCGUAGGUGGUUUGCCAAAUGGGCUUGGUGGCUUCUCUCCCUUAGGAGGUUUACCAAUUGGGGUUGGUGGCUUGUGUUCUGGGAGUGGUUUCUCUCCCUUGGUAGGUUUGCCAAUUGGGGUUGGCGGCUUAUGUUCUGGGAGUGGCUUCUCUCCCUUGGGAGGUUUGCUAAUUGGGGUUGGCGGCUUAUGUUCUGGGGGCGGCUUCUCUCCCUUGGGAGGUUUGCCAAUUGGAGUUGGCGGCUUAUGUUCUGGGAGUGGCUUUUCUCCCUUGGGAGGCUUGCCAAUUGGGGUUGGCGGCUUAUGUUCUGGGGGUGGCUUCUCUCCUUUAGGAGGUUUGCCAAUUGGAGUCGGCGGCUUAUGUUCUGGAAGUGGCUUUUUUCCCUUGGGAGGUUUGCCAAUUGGGGUUGGCGGCUUAUGUUCUGGGGGUGGCUUCUCUCCCUUGGGAGGUUUGCCAAUUGGAGUCGGCGGCUUAUGUUCUGGGAGUGGCUUCUCUCCCUUGGGAGGUUUUGUUGGUGGCUUGUGUUCUGGAGAUGGCUUCUCCCCUGGAGGCUUGUGCUCCGGAGGUGGCUUCUGAAAUGGCGGGGGCUUGGGGUAAUGAGCAAGAGAUGGAGUACUGGUGAGAACCACCAUUCCAAGCAACAAUACUAGCAAGCAUGUGGGAGAC
Molecule: long non-coding RNA, 32236 nt
Filed under: Vitis vinifera (wine grape)
Lineage: Eukaryota; Viridiplantae; Streptophyta; Magnoliopsida; Vitales; Vitaceae
Description: long non-coding RNA (VVIN_LNC001392)
Source: RNAcentral